UGGAGGUCUUUUCCAACCCAGUUGAUUGUAUGAUUCUAUGAUUCUAUUCUGAGGGUUCACUUUGGUUUAUUCACAAUAAGAUGAACAGAUUACUCAGCCUUUAUUUCUUUGCUUUCUUGCCAGUGUUAAAUGAUUACCUAGGCUGUAUUUAAUCUUAAAAAUUUAUAGGUUCUAAUUGCUACAACUAAGGCAACAUCCUCUUCAGAAAACCUGCUCAGCUGACCAUAACUGGAUGUUAUUUCCACCAGGCUGUGUCGCUCUGGCUUUAAUUCCUUCAGGGUAUUUAACAAGUCCUUAAAUAUGUUCCUCAAUCAACUUUUGUUGCUGGAUGAACUCGUAUGUUUAAAGGUUUAUAUUUAGGCAAGUCUUUAAUUGCCAGGAUGAGCUGAAGUCUUUAGUGGUUAAAGCCUGUGGUCAGUUAUUUUAUUUGGUAGUUUUACACUGCAAAGCCGCUGUUUGCUGUUUCUGUAUCAAAAUUAGAAUCUGAGAAACAUGGCUCAAGUAGGAAUUUUAGACACACACUGUUGGGAUAUCAUAAGAAUUUUCUCUGGUGUUAGUUUUUAUGGCUGAGUAUUAAGAAAAUGUUUUGUCAUAGGAUAACCUAAUUUUUGAUUUUUCAGAAACACACCAUAUAAGUCUUUAAACUUAAAUUGCACAGCACUACACUUAAACUAGUAUCUUCAUGUCACAAAGUUUUAAUUUCUAGGGCUGAAGAUAUGAAAGAAUGAAGAAAGGAAGAAUAGGCCAUUCUCAUAUAUUUGGAUACAAUGGCCUCUUCUGCAGCAGUGGCUGUACUUUGAAUAAAGCUGUUGGAUUCCACAGAGAAAACAGAAGACAACAGGCUGAAGCUACAGGCAAAAGCAAACAGAGAGACCAGCUGUUUGGGGAAAUCAGAGGUCUGAAUUUGCAGCCUCGAGGAGAAAACAAAUUUCCUAUUAAGUUUGCAUUGACCAGUAACUGAAAUACAGCAAAAAUACAAACAAUUUUAUCUGGCAGCUUUGGGAACAUAAUCCAAUUCUGCAAAAGCGUUUACCACAUAAUGGAAUUUAUUUUAUUAUGUACUAAAAAAAAUAUAUCUUAUAAUAAAACAUUUCUAUCCCUUUGA
Molecule: long non-coding RNA, 1105 nt
Organism: Pipra filicauda (Wire-tailed manakin)
Lineage: Eukaryota; Metazoa; Chordata; Aves; Passeriformes; Pipridae
Exons: 2
Source: RefSeq, a predicted model, not a curated record